This 347-nucleotide unclassified non-coding RNA is filed under the name soil metagenome. RNAcentral describes it as "partial contains 5.8S ribosomal RNA, internal transcribed spacer 2, and large subunit ribosomal RNA". The stretch from base 1 to 120 matches the Rfam family "5.8S ribosomal RNA", at positions 35 to 154 of the family's 154-position model. The record is from RNAcentral.
GAUGAAGAACGCAGUGAAAUGCGAUAAGUAAUGUGAAUUGCAGAAUUCAGUGAAUCAUCGAAUCUUUGAACGCACAUUGCGCCCGCCAGUAUUCUGGCGGGCAUGCCUGUCUGAGCGUCAUUUCAACCCUCAUGCCCCUAGGGCGUGGUGUUGGGGAUCGGCCAAAGCCCGCGAGGGACGGCCGGCCCCUAAAUCUAGUGGCGGACCCGUCGUGGCCUCCUCUGCGAAGUAGUGAUAUUCCGCAUCGGAGAGCGAUGAGCCCCUGCCGUUAAACCCCCAACUUUCCAAGGUUGACCUCAGAUCAGGUAGGAAUACCCGCUGAACUUAAGCAUAUCAAUAACGGAGGA